GACGAACGCUGGCGGCGUGCUUAACACAUGCAAGUCGAACGGACAGGCCCUGCGUUUGUGGGGUGCUCGAGUGCCGAACGGGUGUGUAACACGUGUGUAAACUGCCCUUGUAUGUGGGGUAACUUCAGGAGACUGGGGCUCAUACCGGAUAGGAGCUCUUGCAGCAUGGUGGGGGUUGGAAAAUUUCGGCGGUGGGGGCUGGAUUCGCGGCUUAUGCGCUUGAUAGUCGGGUAGUUGAUUUCCAAGGCUUUGACGGGUAGCCGGCAUGGGAGGGUGGCCGGCGUCAUUGGGACUACGAGAGGGACCAGACUCCUAUGUGAGGCAGCAGUGGGGAAUAUUGCAGAACGGGCGGAAGUCUGAUGCAGCGGCGCCGCGUUCGGGAUGACGGCUUUCGGGUUGUAAACCGCUUUCGCCUGUGACGAAGCGUGAGUGACGGUAAUGAGUAAAGAAGCACCGGCUAACUACGUG
This 468-nucleotide ribosomal RNA is filed under the name uncultured bacterium. RNAcentral's name for it is "partial 16S ribosomal RNA". It matches the Rfam family "Bacterial small subunit ribosomal RNA", at positions 28 to 507 of the family's 1533-position model. The record is from RNAcentral.